This is a long non-coding RNA of Cornus florida, 1648 nucleotides long. RefSeq lists it as uncharacterized. NCBI's taxonomy places the organism in Eukaryota, Viridiplantae, Streptophyta, Magnoliopsida, Cornales, Cornaceae. The record is from RefSeq and is a predicted model, not a curated record. The transcript has 4 exons.
UCAAAGAGGCCCACGAAACUAGCGAACAAUUUAUUACUCUCUGUCCCAAAUUAAACGUGGUCUUUUGGGAACUGUGAGAGAGGGACAGAGGAGUAUUACUCACGAGCAGGAGUAGGGUCUUUGCCAUUAUCUGGGAACUUGAUCGAGUACCCGCUUGUCAGACACAGAACACAGGACACACUUCUCUGCUCCUCUUUCUGCAUCCCCACUGAAACUACACAAAGGUUUGUACUUGGGCAAUUUGUGGUCUCUCUCUAGGGACUGAAAAGAAGCUUCCAGACUUGAGACUCCAUAGAAUGUAUGCCAUGUGCCCAGGUUUCAGUCAGGCAGGAAAGAAACAGUAUUGGAUUUGGCAAAGUUUGUUGACAAGGGUGUACAGGUCAAGCUUACUGGUGGAGGACAAGGUGCCAACUGUGAGACUGAAGAGGAGAAAGAAAACAUAUGGAGAAGUUGCAGUUACAGAAGUCUCGGACUUUAUGCUGCCAUUGAGUAAUAAUUCGAAAGACUCAGAAAGACUCAGAAAGAACACUUAAUUAUAUGUGAAAAUUAUUCCUGAAUGUAUGCUUUACCCUGACAUACUUGGAAUUUAAGCUCUUGUAACAAUUUGGAAUCUAUAGUAGUAAUGCAUUGGUUACUCAAUGUACAGUAAGAAAAGAUAUAUUCAUUCAUAGAUGUUAGUAUAUUGAUCCUCACGCACCGGGCAAGCCCUUUAGAUGUUAAUAUAUUGAUGUAGCAAUUUAUCGUAUCCAUCAAUGAGUCGACAAAAUAAAUUGUUUCAACAAAUAUUAGUAUAUCCUGACAUGUUGUCGGAUACAGUCGCAUUGUAAAAUAUCAGUUACAGUACCUACAUAUAACAUAUAGCAAUGGUUGAAUUUAAUAAUUGUGUCAAUAGUCCUUUUGGAGACUGUAGGACCAAGGAAGAGAUUUCAUUUGAUGCUAAAAUCUUAAUAAUUCAUAUUGGCAUGCAUAUGUACAUAGAUACAUACAGAUAUAUGAAUUUGCUUGUGUAUUUGUAUCUACAUAGACUCUAAAUUAGAAUUGGAAGUAAAAGAGAUCAAUAGUCUUUUUUUGUUUCCCCUUCUUGUUGGAGGGAUAUCGUUUCAGUUAGUUCGAUAAUAGUAAUAUGAAUAGAGGGAAAACCCAGUCAAAGGUGUGCACUAGUUUGCCCCGAUCUUCUAAACUCUCAUCUUCUUUUUUAUCUUCUCUCUUCUAUAUACCUGGCCGCACUUGCUACAUAUAGUUUAUUGGAUGUCUGCUUAAUGACUGAAAAUUUAAAUUUAAGAUCCCCAUUUUGCAAUUGUUUUUAUGGUAAUGUCAUUUAAGAAUUCUGGCAGAACACAAUCGAUAUAUCAAAACACCCAUAUUGUUCUAUAUAUCUUAUAAAAUUGUUGUUGUUAUAGAGUUGGGCUAAUUAUAUACUAAUUCGUAUACAUCAUAGAAAUUGUUGCCAUCCAAUGAUAUGAAUCCCUUUUCUCAUGUAGCCAAUAUAUUUCAUCAAAUCCCUAGAACAUAAUUGAUUCUCUAUGUGCUGUUAUUAGUUGUCACAUUAGUUUAGAAUCUCACUAUCCAUUCAUCCCCCUGUAUUCAACUUCAUCACUCUUAAUUUUGAACUCUCUCUAAUCCUUUCUGCUUCAUUUUUUUGUAUUGG